CGCGAUGAUACUAAUGAACCAGCCGUGGAAUGGGAACACGACGUACGCCGAACCCCACGUCAUCCCGACGGCCCACGUGAGCUUCAGCGAUGCGUGGAAGAUCCUCACGUACUUCAACUCCAUGCCCGAUGUAACGGCAGCAAUCAUCUUCAACGGCACACAAUACGGCGCUCGACCGUCACCCUCAGUGGCUUUCUUCUCGUCGCGCGGCCCUAGCCUCAUGAAUGGCAACAUCAUCAAGCCGGACGUCAUUGCACCGGGCGUCAACGUUCUAGCCGCUUGGCCAUUCGAGGUAGGGCCUAAACCUGACCAGCACCUUCAGCCCACAACUCACACAUUCAACUUCGAUUCGGGAACGUCGAUGGCGACCCCUCACGUGGCCGGCAUUGUGGCAAUGUUAAAGAAUAACCAUCCUGAUUGGUCUCCUGCUGCCAUUAAGUCGGCGAUCAUGACUACCGCUUACAUGGUCGACGCCGAUGGGAAUCCUAUCGGCGAUGAUUCCAAGCCCGCGGGGACCCCAGCAAGUGCAUAUGCCAUGGGCUCGGGCCACGUCGACCCGUUGGCGGCCAACGACCCGGGCCUCGUCUAUGACCUUCAUUACUAUGAUUAUAUCCAUUACCUCUGCGGCAUGGGCUUCACUGACGCACAAGUCGGAGCCAUCGGUCGCGGUUCGGUGCAGUGUUCUAAGGUCCGGGCGAUCAGCCCGGAACAGCUGAACUAUCCUUCUAUGGCGGUGUACCUAAGUGCUAGUACGACCCAGGUGACGGUCGACCGAACGGUGACGAAUGUCGGGGACGCCGUUUCGACCUACGAGGUGAAGUACGACGAACCGGAAGGAGUGAGAGUUGAAGUUACGCCUGAUACGCUGCAAUUCUCCCGAGCCGGGCAGAUGAAGGAUUUUCAAGUGACAUUAAGCGUCGAGCCCGGGAGCCCAACAGUUAGGAUGGCGGGGCAAGUUUUUGAGGGGCAAAUGGCGUGGGUCUCCGGAAAGUACUACGUAAGGAGUCCUAUUGCCGUCACAAUCCAGUGAAACACGGUAUUACUUCUCGAGUCCCAUGUGCAAAACAACGUACUAGUUCUUUCCCCGGCGUGUAAAAAAGAAAACAUAAUAUAAAAUAAAUAAAAAACAUGUUUGUCUACCAAAAGGCUCUACUUCGUGGAAACUAAGAUUCUUCUUCUUUUUUCUUGUUUGUUUUUGUUUUUUUCUUUUUUUUUUCUUUUUUUAUUAUUAUUAUUAUGGUGUCUGAUCAGAUGAAGCAAUCGGACUGAGCCCAGUUUGAGUGGAGUGUGCACUCCGAGAAACCAACUACAAUCCAUUCCUCGUGGGUCAACAGAGCAAAAUUAUUGCCUAAAAAUAGCCGUACAAGUAAAUAAAAGGUCAAAAAAGUAUGGGAACAAAAGUAGUGAAAACCAAAGAUUCUCGAAUUACGCCCAUAUUCUACCAAGCGCGACAAAAGUUAAACAUUUUUCAAGUAUCCUAUACAAAACCAGCAAAUACAACUAGAAAUUCUUGUUUUUAAACUUUCGAAUAUUUGAAAUUGAGUGAAUUUUCUGAAAUAAAGUAGAGGCAUUAUCAAGUUCAUCUAUGGUCUCAUCAAUUUAAUAAUUUUAAUUAUUUUUUAGCAAAUAAAAUUAGGACAGUUAAUGGCUAAUAUCUAGAUGAGCUAUUAAUUGUUUUUUUUUUGGAAAAAAAACAUUAGCUAAAUUAAUUAGAACAACUAAAAGAAAUUAGAAAUUAGUGAGGCGUUCAUUCCGAAAAAGUGGAGGCGCCUAUUUUAUAGAUGAGUGGGGGGCCUGCAAACAAUUAUAUAUCUUAAUUAAUUAACAACUAUCCUGACCGGACUCCAAAUAAAUUAAAAAGAAAUAACGAAAUGAUCGCAUCCAAAACCCUGCGAUAACACACCAGUAAAAGAACAUUUGUAUGCUCAACCUUUUCAACAACCCCUAAUAUAAAAAUAUCCAGAAGAAAUUAAGAUAUCAAAUAGAACCUAUUAUUUUAGUAACAUGACCUCUCACUUACCUUCCCCCCCCAGGAGCAUGACGACCGUGGAAGAAGAGAAGGAUAGCAAGAAGAAUAGUGUAAAGAUAGAGGAGGCCAAAGAAGAAGGGGAUGAUUCCGACGAUGAUUGUUACGAGAUCGAUCCCAUCGACUUCGCCCGCAUACUCACCUUGAAAGUCUCUGAUGAAGUUGUUCUUGUUUCUGAGAAGGAACCAGUAAGAAAUCAAUCUCUACCCCCUUAAUUCUACCACCAUAAUCAAAGUUUUAAAACUAAAGGGCGAUUCGAUACUUAAAACCCGAUUGAAUUAUAUGAUGUUGAUCACUACAAUAGGUUGCACUGAGGGACUUCCCCCAUCCAAGGCACCUGUGUGCGAAUUUCCCCUUCAACACUUCUCCCCAUGAGAGUUACUGCAGCCAGGUUCCUUUUUUUUUUUUUUUUUCUUUUGAAGUGUUUCUUGAUCAAAUUUCUCAUCUUAUUUGUUCACUGGUAUGGUUUGUAUUAUGUGAAAAUUUUGUCACAGAGGUAAUGAAAUAGAAAGGUACUAUCACCUUGUAUGAUACAAUAUUGGAUACCCCAACUCCCUGGGGGGGGGGGCACGUUAUGGUUAGAAACUUAAACAUUUUAAGUUCCUGUAGCCUACUAUGCCUGGAAAUCAGGCUAACUUGGGGAGGCAAUCUAAAUUCUAAACUUGCUGCACUUUUUAUGACAAUGAAUCAUCCAUUGAUAUCAUGGUAAGUUUACUACUAUAAUCCUUUGCCCUUUGGACUCAUCUAAUAUGUUUAAUAAAGGAAACAUACAGGACAUAUGAACAUUGCAUGCUUGCAUUUGCUUUAUGAAGAAAAAGGGGACUAAAAUACAAAGAUUUUGCCAUAGCCACAUAAAGUUGAAGGAAUAAAGCUCGACGUACCUUAGAAUAUGCUCCAAAAUAAACUGCUUGCUUGCUUGCGGAUAACGCCAGUUAUCCUCUCAUAAAUUGCACACUGGACAGCAUCUUCAGUACAUUUUGGUGUACUGAUAAAAAAAAAUGCUCAAAAUAGAGGACUUAUGAAUACCCUGAAUUCAUCAUGAUUUUAGAUAUCGUAAGACAUUGCAAAGCAUGCUUCCGAAAGUUAAAUGAGAAUUGUACAUACUUGAUUCACGGGUACCCUUCAGAAGUCUCAGCAACAUCUGACAGUUGUUUAUGUCUGAUGCAGUGUUUUUGUUACGUCUGCGAAGUAGCUGCUCCCUGUAAGCAGUGGGAAGGAACAGAUGGGCAUUGCAAUGUAUCGAAGAAGUAAUAAAGGAGAUUUUAGAAGACUUGGUAAGGACUUCCCGGAGAGGGCAGAAUUUUAAGUCUGCUGAUAUAUAGAACCCUUGCUCUGUUCCAAGAGGAUUUGUGGGAUAUCUUAAGAAAGUUAAAUGUUUUGGCGGUUUAUUGCUAAAGGCUCUUUCAUACCAGGAACUGAUAAAUACCAUCACGAGUUGAUGAGGAAUCAGUGGAAUUUAACUUCUUUCAAAUUAAUUAAGACAUAAACACGGGCAUAUCACAAGUACGUCCGACCCCACGAAACUAUUAUACUUGGGAUUCUCGCUAUUCGUAGAAUUUUUUCCAAGUGAAAUUUCUCUCUGUUCUAUCAUGCAUGCUUGGCGGUCUCGCAGGGCACUGUCUCAACACUAUUCCUUCAACCAAAGAUUACGAAGAGGGGGAAGGAAAAAAAAUCGAGAUGUUUAAAGUAACUUUUAUCUAUUCCAGUUAAGCAAACUACGGUUUUGGCCAAGUGCAUAGUGCUGCAAAACUAGGCAACAACCUUACUAGCUAGAAUAUCUUUCCUUAACAAAAGAGAAGAGCAUAUCUAACACGACUAAAAUCAAACACAGAGACUGGAUUUCUACAAUUACAUUGUUCCCGAAUAAUUUCAUAAAAUUAACACAAGGACAAUAUUAGCACAUUGGCACCGACUUCGCUUACACAUUCAAAUGAUCAACUGCAGAAAAAUUACAGCAACACAAACAUAAUACAAAACAGACUAGCUAACUUUGUGGAAGUAUUAAGUAACGGAGAUAAUCAAUCAAGUAUCAUCAUCAUAAGAGGCAUGGAAGUCCGUAGAACAACCUGGGGCAUCUGGAUCCUCGGCGCCGCAGCAGUCGUAGAACUUGGCAGCAUAAGGCGGAUCAUCCGGUCCAAGCUCGUAGUACCUUCGAUCAACAAGAAUAAAAGAAUCGGGAUGGAUCUAUUUAAUCCAUCGAUUUGAACAGGUUGGCUUAACUAUUGGCUUAACUAUUCAGAUUAAGAAAAAGAAGACGAGAGAGAGAGAGAGAGAGAGAGAGAGAGAGAGAGAGAGAGAGAGAUCGAUCGUAGUGUGGUUAGUGUUUAGGGUUUAGGGAUUAGUUGGUGACCUCUUCUGGUCGUCGUGGCGUCGGCAAACGAAGAAGGAUGGGUGGAAACUGCAGGAGGAGGGCGUGUUUUCGGAGGGAUCGAAGCGGCGCUUGCAUCGCCGACACAGCUUCUCCACCGCAGCAGCAACCACCACGACCUCCCCUGCUUCCGACAUCUUCUUUCUUUCUUCCUUUCUUUCUUUCUUUCCUCGCUCGUCGCCCGCCCAUCUUUCCCCCAACUCGCUCUCCCCCUCCCUCUCCGCCCCUUGUCUUCUCUGAUCCCCGAGCCACGCGUCGUCACGAGGCCCAUAUAUAUAGAUAAGGCCGGCUUCUUGGGCCGGCCCAUUGUGACGCGGGUGCCAGCGGAUCGGACGGUUCAGAAAGUUUAGGUCAGGCCCGCUCCCCGAUCAAACUAAACUGAAAACUCGCAGGGAUUGCGAUUGCGGAGUCAUGAGCUUUUGAAAAGAACUUCCUUGGUUGGGAUUGUAGAAAAAUUAUGUUACGUGAAGUUAGAAAAUGCGAUUAAAAAUUAUGAUGUUUAUUUUCGUACGUAAUAUUACAUUCCGCAUAUCGCGAUUAGUCGGUUAAGAUAUAUUUUUUACGGUUCUAUCGGAGAACGCAAAAGUAUAUUCCUAUAUAUUUUUAUCCCAUCUUUAUUUUAUCUAAUAGCAUUAAAUAACUUUGGACGUUCCUAUAGAAAAUAGGAUUAGAGUAGGAACUGGUGACCUACCUAGAGAAAAUAGGACUAGAGGUUGAACUGGCUUUUUGGCAUUCAGUUUAUUCUUGUUUAAGUAUUUUAGUUUUAGGAACAAAGCAGUGGAACACCCAAAUAUCAUCUCAAGUAAAAGUAACUACCAGACAACAGAAAAUUACGGCAGGGACAUUAAGGACUUCACCUUCAUGAGCAGCAAUCUCAGACAGAUAAGUUGCAUUGUGCCUUGUGUUUUCACUCGGGUCAGUGAAUUCAAUGAUUAAGCCGUACUUUCCAAUCUGCAUGUCAGAACAAAAAAUUUACUCAAAUAGAAACUUUUAUAACUAAAAAUUCUUAAACAACAUAUGGAACUAAAAUAAUGACAUAGAACACCUGAAAUAAAGACAUAGAACAGACAAGUAAAGCAGAACCUGUUAAUUGACAAGAUAAUAAGUAAUUCUUAGUGCAUCUUUGUUGGAAGAAGAAUUUGAGGAACACUUGUAAUUAAAAUAGCAUAUUAUUCAGGGGUUGAUUAUGUAGAUCAUGACAUACUAAUAAUUCCUAUAUAUUUAAGGCCUAUUAGUUGGUAAAAGAUAUACUUUCUCAUUUGACAAUCAUUUUGUAGUUUGAUCCUCAGCUUGCCUCUUUGCUGUACCAGAUGGGGUGUUUAACUUGCCUCUCACAAAUAAAUUACUCAUACAAAGUUUCACAUCUAUUCCUACAAAGUUUUUUUUUUUUGAGAGAUUAUUCCUACAAAGUUUGAACUAUAAAAUUUGUAUAAUCUUGAUAGUCAAAUACAUUUCUCUAACAUUUAAAAGUAUGCAAAAUUUUAUUCGUGCAGGUUGACUAUUGUAAGUUCACGCACGGUGGAAAUAUACUUAAAAAUAAUUUUUAUUUAAGAGUAGGCCAUUUUGAAAAAGAAAAAGUUAACUUUAAACAUUCAACUAAUGGAGAGGAUGCAUUUCCAAACUAUGCACUAUGGAGAAACAUAUUUCAAGACUAAAAUUUUGGAGGAGUAAUUAUGUAUUCAACUACUUUACAGUUUACAGUGAUAAUAAUAUGCAUGAAAAAAAAAUUUGAAAAAAGAAUAUCAUAUAAGUGAUUGUAAUAAUUAGUAGUAUAACUGGGAGAUUUUCCAAAUUUCCCUGUACGUAUUGGCAUGUGCAUGGGAACUUCGGCAUUGGCACCUCUUCUAUGAAAAGGUGAAUAAGCUGGUGUAUCUAUUAUUGCGUUCAACAAAACGCCCGUAUUGCCAUUUGCAGCUAUACAUGUAUGUAGUUCAAAAAGCACUUGAUUUGGAACUAGGUAGAAGAAAACACUUCUGGGUCUUUGGAUUCGUCUAGCACGAUUAGAGAGAAGGAGAGAGAGUUCACUUAUUGCAUUUCAUAAUUCAUAUAAGUGCACCGCAUGGCAUCACUUACUACGGAUCAUUAUUAGUUAUCCAUAAUGUAACCUGUUUUCCAUAAUUAAUCAAAUUAUUUCUCGCAACGAUUUGUCCGUGCAAGGUUGUUUCUUGCGAACAUUUGGAAAGGAUCCUAUUUAAGGACCAUAUGCCUCUCCUCUUUGCAAGCACACCUUCUCUAUUGCGUUGCUACCAUGGAAAUUUUACACUCAAUCUUCUACUUGCUUAUUUCUUUUUCCUUCUUCCUAUCCAAUCCAACUCUUCUCUUGGUUCACUGCCAAAUAAAGCCCAUUUCAAAUGACACCCAAAUGCAGGUCUAUAUUGUUCAUGUACAAAAGCCUGACAGCACGAGCUUCCGUCGGUUCAAGGAUCGGAAAGAGUGGUACGCGUCCUUCUUGCCCAACACCACCCUCGACUCCGGCAAGCCGCGCAUGGUCUACGCGUACCGCCAAGCGAUCAGCGGCUUCGCAGCGUGGCUCACCUCUCAAGAAGUAGAAGCCAUGAAAUCUACGGAUGGCGUUCUCGUAGCCUACCCCGACAGCGAGUAUGAUGCUCAAACCACCUACACCCCGGAGUUCCUAGGACUAAACGCAUGGGAGGACGGCGUUUGGUACGACUCUCAAUACGGGGCGGGGCAAAUCAUCGGGGUUAUCGACACCGGAUUUAAGCCCGGUCAUCCUUCCUUCAGGGAUACUGAUGUAAAUCCGCCGCCAGAGACGUGGAACGGAAGCUGCUACUGGAAACAUUCCGUGUGCAACAACAAGCUCAUCGGUGCAGUGGGAUACAAGCAUGGGCGCACCGUCUCACCUGAAGACAAGAACGGUCAUGGAACCCACACAGCGAGCACAGCUGCGGGGAAUUUCGUGGAUGAUGCUCACGUACUCGGCAUGGCACGCGGCACGGCGUCAGGGACGGCACCUAAAGCUCAUCUAGCAAUCUAUAAGGUGCUACACAUCACCAAAACUGCGAGUACUGGUACGGUUGUCAAAGCGCUUGUUAGUGACACAUUGAGGGGCAUCGACGAAGCGAUCCGGAAUCACGUAAAUGUGCUAUCCAUGUCCCUCGGGUUGGAGAAGCAACGGCUGCAUGCGGACUCUAUUGCCAUAGGAUCAUACGCAGCAAUCACCAAAGGGAUCGUCCCGGUGGCCGCUGCCGCAAAUGCAGGCCCCUUCGCGAGUGUCAUAGCGAAUGAUGCGCCGUGGAUACUUACCGUCGGAGCAAGCACUACAGACAGGAGGAUAAGGGCCAUUGUCAAGCUCGGAAACGGUAUGGAGCUCUUCGGCGAAACAGCAUACCAGCCGGAGGGAUUCAACUCGACUCAGCUACCGUUGGUUUAUCCAGGGGUGCGAAAGACGCAAAAGACCUUGAAUUGCUUGAACGGCUCCAUGGACACUUUCGAUGUUAAAGGGAAAAUCGUGUUGUGCGGGGUUGGACAUAUUACAAACAUCGAAAAGGGUGAGAUCGUUAAGGCGGCAGGCGGUGCGGCGAUGAUACUAAUGAACCAGCCGUGGAAUGGGAACACGACGUUCUCCGAACCCCACGUCAUCCCGACGGCCCAUGUGAGCUUCAGCGAUGCGUGGAAGAUCAUCACGUACUUCAACUCCACGCCUAACGGAACAGCAGCAAUCACCUUCAACGGCACACAAUACGGCGUUCAACCAUCACCCUCGGUGGCUUACUUCUCGUCUCGCGGCCCUAGCCUCAUGAACGGCAACAUCAUCAAGCCGGACGUCAUCGCACCGGGCGUCAACAUUCUAGCCGCUUGGCCGUUCGAG
RNAcentral lists this long non-coding RNA (8223 nucleotides) under Ananas comosus (pineapple). RNAcentral describes it as "long non-coding RNA (ACOM_LNC034361)". The record is from RNAcentral. Lineage: Eukaryota; Viridiplantae; Streptophyta; Magnoliopsida; Poales; Bromeliaceae.